UACAGGGGGGGCAAGCGUUGUUCGGAAUUACUGGGCGUAAAGGGUUUGUAGGUGGCUUGCUAAGUCAGACGUGAAAUCCCUCAGCUUAACUGGGGAACUGCGUCUGAUACUGGCGAGCUUGAGUGCAGGAGAGGAACGCGGAAUUCCAGGUGUAGCGGUGAAAUGCGUAGAUAUCUGGAAGAACACCCGUGGCGAAGGCGGCUCUCUGGGACGGUACUGACGCUGAGACGCGAAAGCGUGGGGAGCGAACAGG
RNAcentral lists this ribosomal RNA (253 nucleotides) under uncultured bacterium. Its description in RNAcentral is "partial 16S ribosomal RNA". It matches the Rfam family "Bacterial small subunit ribosomal RNA", at positions 524 to 776 of the family's 1533-position model. The record is from RNAcentral.